AUGAACGCUGGCGGCGUGCCUAAUACAUGCACGUCGAGCGAACAGACGAGGAGCUUGCUCCUCUGACGUUAGCGGCGGACGGGUGAGUAACACGUGGAUAACCUACCUAUAAGACUGGGAUAACUUCGGGAAACCGGAGCUAAUACCGGAUAAUAUAUUGAACCGCAUGGUUCAAUAGUGAAAGACGGUUUUGCUGUCACUUAUAGAUGGAUCCGCGCCGCAUUAGCUAGUUGGUAAGGUAACGGCUUACCAAGGCAACGAUGCGUAGCCGACCUGAGAGGGUGAUCGGCCACACUGGAACUGAGACACGGUCCAGACUCCUACGGGAGGCAGCAGUAGGGAAUCUUCCGCAAUGGGCGAAAGCCUGACGGAGCAACGCCGCGUGAGUAAUGAAGGUCUUCGGAUCGUAAAACUCUGUUAUUAGGGAAGAACAAAUGUGUAAGUAACUAUGCACGUCUUGACGGUACCUAAUCAGAAAGCCACGGCUAACUACGUG
This 496-nucleotide ribosomal RNA is filed under the name uncultured bacterium. RNAcentral describes it as "partial 16S ribosomal RNA". It matches the Rfam family "Bacterial small subunit ribosomal RNA", at positions 29 to 507 of the family's 1533-position model. The record is from RNAcentral.